RNAcentral lists this microRNA (23 nucleotides) under Bos taurus (domestic cattle). RNAcentral's name for it is "Bta-Mir-6525_5p (mature (guide))". Lineage: Eukaryota; Metazoa; Chordata; Mammalia; Artiodactyla; Bovidae. The record is from RNAcentral.
CUGGGGAAAGCAGGAGUGAGGGU